RNAcentral lists this ribosomal RNA (253 nucleotides) under uncultured bacterium. RNAcentral's name for it is "partial 16S ribosomal RNA". It matches the Rfam family "Bacterial small subunit ribosomal RNA", at positions 524 to 776 of the family's 1533-position model. The record is from RNAcentral.
UACGAAGGGGGCUAGCGUUGUUCGGAUUAACUGGGCGUAAAGCGCGCGUAGGCGGGUUUUUAAGUCAGGGGUGAAAUCCCAAGGCUCAACCUGGAAACUGCCAUUGAUACUAUUUAUCUUGAAUAUUGUUGAGGUAGGCGGAAUAUAUCAUGUAGCGGUGAAAUGCUUAGAUAUGAUAUAGAACACCGAUUGCGAAGGCAGCUUACUAAACAAUCAUUGACGCUGAGGCACGAAAGCGUGGGGAUCAAACAGG